GCAAGUCGAACGGUCUGAUGUUCAACACUGAGUUUUUAGUAGUGUAGCAAGCGUCAAGCGCGAAAGAAGAGAGCGCUUCACGCAUUAACAAAGUGCCAACACAAAAGCGAAAGAUUGAGUGUUGAACAUCAGAUAGUGGCGAACGGGUGAGUAACGCGUAGACAACCUACCUUCUAGAUGGGGACAACACUGCGAAAGUGGUGCUAAUACCGAAUGUUGUAUUAAGGGUGCAUAUCCUAAAUACUAAAGGUGGCCUCUAUAUAUAAGCUAUCACUAGAAGAUGGGUCUGCGUCUGAUUAGCUAGUUGGUGAGGUAAUGGCUCACCAAGGCGACGAUCAGUAGCCGGUCUGAGAGGAUGAACGGCCACACUGGGACUGAGACACGGCCCAGACUCCUACGGGAGGCAGCAGUGGGGAAUCUUCCGCAAUGGACGAAAGUCUGACGGAGCAACGCCGCGUGAGUGAAGAAGGUUUUCGGAUCGUAAAACUCUGUUUUCAGGGACGAAUGUGCCGAUUGUAAAUAAUGAUUGGUAAUGACGGUACCUGACAAGAAAGCCACGGCUAACUACGUGCCAGCAGCCGCGGUAAUACGUAGGUGGCAAGCGUUGUCCGGAAUUAUUGGGCGU
RNAcentral lists this ribosomal RNA (625 nucleotides) under uncultured bacterium. Its description in RNAcentral is "bacterial SSU rRNA". It matches the Rfam family "Bacterial small subunit ribosomal RNA", at positions 57 to 561 of the family's 1533-position model. The record is from RNAcentral.